RNAcentral lists this long non-coding RNA (367 nucleotides) under Struthio camelus australis. Its description in RNAcentral is "lncRNA (ENSSCUG00000002799.1)". Lineage: Eukaryota; Metazoa; Chordata; Aves; Struthioniformes; Struthionidae. The record is from RNAcentral.
CAAAGCUCAUGUGUUGGGUGGAAAGUGGUGAAACAGAAAAAUGCAUGCAUUUAUUUCAUAUGGAUUGUGCUCAUGCCUCCUAUGAAUCUUUGCAGAGAUCAGAGAAACUCUAAUCAAUCCAUCUAGCAAAGCAAAUAAGAGGAAGAGAGAUGAUGUAGCUCUGGAAGAACAGGAGUCCUGGGUGGUGGUCCUGGAGAAAGACCUGCCAGAAGAUGACUCUGAAGAUGUCACAUACGAGCCAUCAGAAGUGGAAACAGAUAGCGAGGAGUACAAGUCCCAGAAUGACACUGAGACAGACUUGGAGUUUGAAGAGCAGGAAGGGGCCAUAGUACUGACGGAAUCAUCAAAUCUCCAGAUCCAGGGAUGA